UCCAGCUGAGACCCAUCCCUGCCAUUCAAGACGCGGGCCGCCACCACAACAACGCCGCACCUUCAGCCGGAUCGAAGCAGCACGGAAAAACCUUUUAUGCUUUUUUCCCCCCCCCCACAGCUGAAGAGAAACUGAAAACAUGAGGAACGGGGAGGGAGAUGCACGCACAAACAUGCAAAGGCCUAUUUCUGUCUGCGUUGACACAUGGCUGGCUCACUAACAGGAAAGUGACUAACAGCACCAGAACACUCAGCAAGCUUGACUUUAACUGGCCGUCCUGGAUUGGGAUGCUCAACGCGUAACACAUCCUGUGAUUUUAAGUUUAUUACAGC
Long non-coding RNA from Fundulus heteroclitus (mummichog), 332 nucleotides. RefSeq lists it as uncharacterized. The record is from RefSeq and is a predicted model, not a curated record. NCBI's taxonomy places the organism in Eukaryota, Metazoa, Chordata, Actinopteri, Cyprinodontiformes, Fundulidae. The transcript has 2 exons.